This 252-nucleotide ribosomal RNA is filed under the name Cryptosporidium parvum. RNAcentral's name for it is "partial small subunit ribosomal RNA". It matches the Rfam family "Eukaryotic small subunit ribosomal RNA", at positions 441 to 694 of the family's 1831-position model. The record is from RNAcentral. Lineage: Eukaryota; Apicomplexa; Conoidasida; Eucoccidiorida; Cryptosporidiidae.
UUACCCAAUCCUAAUACAGGGAGGUAGUGACAAGAAAUAACAAUACAGGACUUUUUGGUUUUGUAAUUGGAAUGAGUUAAGUAUAAACCCCUUUACAAGUAUCAAUUGGAGGGCAAGUCUGGUGCCAGCAGCCGCGGUAAUUCCAGCUCCAAUAGCGUAUAUUAAAGUUGUUGCAGUUAAAAAGCUCGUAGUUGGAUUUCUGUUAAUAAUUUAUAUAAAAUAUUUUGAUGAAUAUUUAUAUAAUAUUAACAU